RNAcentral lists this ribosomal RNA (498 nucleotides) under uncultured bacterium. RNAcentral's name for it is "partial 16S ribosomal RNA". It matches the Rfam family "Bacterial small subunit ribosomal RNA", at positions 28 to 507 of the family's 1533-position model. The record is from RNAcentral.
GACGAACGCUGGCGGCGUGCUUAACACAUGCAAGUCGAACGGGCCUGUCUUCUUUUUUGGGGUGGGUUGAGUGGCGAACGGGUGAGUAUCACGUGAGUAACCUGCCCUUCGGUCCUGGAUAACCGCUUGAAAGGGCGGCUAAUACGGGGUGGUCCGGUUGGUCCGCAUGGGCUGGUCGGGAUAGAUUCACUGUUUUUGGUGUUUCGGCGGGGGAUGGGCUCGCGGCCUAUCAGCUUGUUGGUGGGGUGAUGGCCUACCAAGGCGGUGACGGGUAGCCGGCCUGAGAGGGUGGGCGGCCACACUGGGACUGCGAUACGGCCCAGACUCCUGCGGGAGGCAGCAGUGGGGGGUAUUGCACAAUGGGCGGAAGCCUGAUGCAGCGACGUCGCGUGAGGGAUGGAGGCCUUCGGGUUGUGAACCUCUGUUUCCGGUGGUGAAGGCCCUGUCCGUGUGGUGGGGUUGACGGUAGCCGGGGAUGAAGCGCCGGCUAACUACGUG